Molecule: long non-coding RNA, 4468 nt
Organism: Meriones unguiculatus (Mongolian gerbil)
Lineage: Eukaryota; Metazoa; Chordata; Mammalia; Rodentia; Muridae
Exons: 6
Source: RefSeq, a predicted model, not a curated record
ACACUGCGGUGGUCCGGGAUCGUUCUGCGCAGAUACUGCAGAGCUGACGCAUUCUUUGCCUGGCAUCUCAGCUUGCUAGGUGUCUCCUCUUCGCUCUGCGCUCGUGGCCUCCUCCAAGGCCUCCAGUCUCCUUUAAGAAAACUCAAGACCUGGGAAGCUACGAUGCGAGCUUGAUGCCGCUACCCUUGCAGGCUAUGGACUUCCUGAGGGUCCUCGGACUGUUGACACGCAUUCCGAUCUGCAUCCUUCCAAGCUGAUAAGCCCGGGACUCUAGGGCAGGGUGCCCAGACUCAUGUGUGACGCCUUGCAGUGAAACCCCAUUCCCAGUGUGGUGGCUUCUUUGCUGGGCCUUGGCCCAUUUGAUACCACGAAGGAUGACGAUGCUAGUUAUGCAGCAGCCAACACACCUCCUCCCAACUCUCCGCUCUCACUGGUGGGCCCCACUGUCCAGGAAGCAGGUGUCCGGAACUGACAUCUUGGCGCAGAGGGGCCGUGAGAGGUGUGUGUAUCCUGCCAGAAAGCAGCUGGACCACGGCGCUCCCAAGAUGAACCCACUGUACACAGAAGCAUCAUGGGAGUUGUCAUGUCAGGAGCAUUCUAGACCCACGUGUACUUGAGCAUGGAAAGACAGAAGAUAGUGCAGAGACUGGGGCACUGAUCUGCUCACCAUGAUCGCCUGCAGGGGUCUCAUCCAGGCUACAGUGGCGGUGUCCGCGGCUGCCAUUCAACGUGCCCUCAGACCCAGACCGGCUCACCACUGAGGAGAACCUGUUCGCUUUGGUGGGUAUGCAGAGGGAAGGGUCUCGACUCCACAGACCUGGAGUCCAAAGUUGUUUUUUUUUUUAUUUACCAGUAAUUUAUUUUUAAUACCAUUCAAGCUACCGCUGUCUGUCUGCUUAGAGUCACAGCAUGCAAUGUGGCACCAAGGCAUCCUUGUCCUCACAGUUUUACACUGUGGGAACAGGCAUCCUUGUUCUCACAGAUUAGCGCGAGGGAAACCAGAAAUAUUAAACACGCAGGGUUGUCUCUCCAAAGGGAGAGGCACAUACCCUGUUUCCCUCCCGGAAGGCUGGGAGCGGAGGUGUUUGAUAUCCUGGCGACCUCUGUGCAGUCUGUAGGCCGUGUCCUUAAGAUGUAGCUGUCAGUCAGUAGUGGAGCCGGAGCCGUCGGUCAGUAGAUUGGGGUCGUGGCAUGCGCCUUUAACUCCAUUUUAUUCCAGCACCCUAGCAGCAGCAGCGGUGGUGUGGCCCUGUGUAGUUCCGAAGAACAGCUUUCAUCCCAGCGCUUCAGGCAGCAAAGGCGGGUGGAUCUCUGAGUUCAAGGCCAGCCUGGUCUACAGAGUGAGUCCAGGACAGCCAGGGCUACAACAGAGAAAACCUCUCUAUUGAAAAAUAAAGAAAUUAUUAAAAAAAAAAAAAAAAAAAAAAAAAAAGAUGUCACAUGUCCUGUGUACUUUACAAAGAAUGUUGUUGCUUAAGCUUUUUUUGGGCACACGGGAUUAUCACCAGAAAAUUGUUUAACUGCCUGGUGUCAGACUCCUGAAGUUUGAACCAGCAUUUAGCCGGGCGUGGUGGCGCACGCCUGUAAUCCCAGCCCUCGGGAGGCAGGGGCAGGUGGAUCUCUGAGUUAGAGGCCAGCCUGGUCUACAGAGUGAGUCCAGGACAGCCAGGAUUACACAGAGAAACCCGGUCUCGAAAAUGUAAAGUAAAAUAAAAUAAAGUUUGAACCAACAGUGUUUACUGAGUCGUGUUGAAACAGAUUUCCUUUUUGCUUCUCUUUGAUCAUUAUUCUGCUGUGGUGUCAGCAGAGACCCCCUCCAACAGGUGGCCAACGUAAGAGUCUCAAGCCCGAGAAGGUAAGAAUUAAAAAAAAAAAAAAAAUAGAAUCAGGAGUAGGAGUUUGGACCUCUCACCCGGGAGAUCACAAAGGUAAGUAAGGGAGUAAAAUAAGCUUGGGUUCUUCUCAAUCCUCUGAGACGAAGCAUUUUAUAUUUUACUGACAUGUUUGUUAAGCUCCAAGGGAGCAAAAUACUCAGAGCAAGGCUCUGAAGCUUGGUACAAGAGUCUGUAAAAUUCAGUCCUUGGUUUCCUAAACCAGAAACGAUUGAUGUUAAAAACUGGGAAUGCAGCCAGGUGGUGGUGUCUAUAGAGAAAGCCCCAGGAUAGCCAGGGCUUCAUAGAGAAAUCCUGUCUCGAAACAAACACGCAAACAAAAAAAUUGGAAAUGCAUAGGAGCUAAAGAAAAGGAACCCAUGAAAGAGGAGAUAAAAUCCCUAUCAAUUAUUUUGCAAGCUGGAGCACAGUAGUGCAUGUAACUCUCUGAGGAGGAUCAUUGAAUAAAACCUUUUCUCUCUCUCUCUCUCUCUACAGGCCAAGUGGACUCCGCUGCUGAUUUGGUCCCCCAGCCAGGCUCAGUCAGGGCUUUUGAGAUGGAACUCAGAGUGUCCAUGCAAUGGUGUGCUCACAGUCUUGCAAAAUAAGGCAUUUUAUCUUGUCUUUCACAUACAAAAUGGAGGCUUUCUCACUGCAGGCCUCUCAGCCAUUGAGAGACCAAACACCACCCAGAUUCCUUUGUACUUAAAAAACAUAGGGGCAAAUUGGAACCAAGAAAUUUAUUUUAUAAUAUUUCUUCUGGCUGAUACGGUGUCCAAGGACUGAAAACAUAAUUGCACACUAACUUUAAUUUUUUUUUUCUUCAAAGGAUAAUGCUUUCAAAGGAUAACACUUUUUUUCUCCCCCUAAGGUAUAUGUUAAAAAAAAAAAAUCUAAAAACUAACCAAUGGAAAGGGCCCGAUGUCCUAACAUCGAGGCGAGAUUGUGCUUAUGUCUUACAGAAAACUAAAUGAAGUCCCAGGUGGCUCCUGCUAUAACACAUCUGGCAAGGACACAUCUAGCAAGCAUCCUGGAGAUCACCAGACAAAGGAAGUGUGGGAAGCUAGACGACAAAUCCAUCAAAAGGAGAUGUCCCAAGAGGAAGAGGAGCCAAGUGAAGUGUCUGAAGAGAGACGACAAAUCCAUCAAAAGGAGAUGUCCCAAGAGGAAGAGGAGCCAAGUGAAGUGUCUGAAGAGAGACGACAAAUCCAUCAAAAGGAGAUGUCCCAAGAGGAAGAGGAGCCAAGUGAAGUUUCUGAAGAGAGACAACAAAUCCAUCAAAAGGAGAUGUCCCAAGAGGAAGAGGAAACCAAUAACUCGGGGAGGCAGCAAGCCAAGACUUUGGGGGAAACAAGGACAUAAUACUACUGACCCCAAAACAAUUUAUUGACUGUAUUGUUACAUUUAUUGACUGUAUUGCAUGUUGAUUCUCAGCUUGUCAGUGAAGAAUCCAAAAGCCUUUUGUCAGGGGGGAUCAAAGGCAUUCUUGUAAUAGGGAGAGAAUGCUGUUGUUUUGCCAUGCUAAGAGUUGUUUUCAUCCUUUGGGACCAGUUGUCUGGAAAAAAGAUAGUGUACAAAUGUUUAGUCACAUGGUGGGCAAUAUUUUGGUUGGGCUAAUCUAAGUGACCAAACGUAAUAAUACAGAUUUUUAGCAUAAUUUAGUACUCUUUUAGAAAGCUCUGAUAGUAGAAAUUAUCGUUGUAUGGAGUGUUAUACCCAGUUCGCAAGCUCCCAAAAGAUCUACAGGAAUCGACUCCGUUGCAAAAUACAUGAGGGUCUUUUUAUUGUAAAUUACAAGCUGCAGCUUGGGCCUACACAGCCCUAACACCGAAGCGGUGGGAGCUGAGCACGCCGCCCCAGGUUAGUUGGGUGGUUUAUAGAUUCUGGUCCAUCCCAGCAUGCCCAAGGCAGGGGCAAUUCCUGCCUGGCAAGCAUCUAUUGGUCAAGAUGCUACAUUUUGAAUUGAUUGGCUAUAGGAAGGUUCCCAGACUAUUGACCAUGACUAGGUGUCCCUCCCUAGGGGGAGGGGCCAGUUUCCUAGCAACUGUAUCUCUACUGGGUGGGGAAAGAACCCAGUUCGAGAGGUAGCUCUCCCCUCAGGGCAUUUACUAACUUCUAUACUGCACCUACUCUAGGUCUUAACGAUCAUUUGCUGCUACUUUAUCUUUUGGUCUCUCAGGAGAUGGAAAAAAAAAGGAGUGCCUGAUGUGUUGUUUUACUAAAGUUGAACCGACACCAUGGUGUUACUGAGUUGUGUUGAAUCAGACUGCCUUUUUGCCUCAUGUGAAUCUUACUCUGUUGGCCUUGGUGGUCACAGAGACCCCCCCAUAGCCAUGGGGGGGUCUAAGAAUGUGGCUUCCCUCACCCCAGCCAAGUCAUGUGUGGCUUGUCUCUGCCUUCUUGCCUAUGAACCCCCUUGCUUUCUUUCAUGGAAACAUGUACCCCCCUGCUUGCUGUCAUGGAAAUCCCUGCUUACAGUCUUUCCCUUUGAAAACCUGCUCACUCAGGGAUCAGGGUCCCACUUCUCUACUGCUGUGUCAGUAAGACUUGGGUCCCAAGUUCAAUCGCUCUCAUAAUAAAGCUCUCUUGCUCUUGCA